RNAcentral lists this ribosomal RNA (972 nucleotides) under Salmonella enterica. RNAcentral's name for it is "partial 23S ribosomal RNA". It matches the Rfam family "Bacterial large subunit ribosomal RNA", at positions 1962 to 2925 of the family's 2925-position model. Lineage: Bacteria; Pseudomonadati; Pseudomonadota; Gammaproteobacteria; Enterobacterales; Enterobacteriaceae. The record is from RNAcentral.
AAAUUCCUUGUCGGGUAAGUUCCGACCUGCACGAAUGGCGUAAUGAUGGCCAGGCUGUCUCCACCCGAGACUCAGUGAAAUUGAACUCGCUGUGAAGAUGCAGUGUACCCGCGGCAAGACGGAAAGACCCCGUGAACCUUUACUAUAGCUUGACACUGAACAUUGAGCCUUGAUGUGUAGGAUAGGUGGGAGGCUUUGAAGUGUGGACGCCAGUCUGCAUGGAGCCGACCUUGAAAUACCACCCUUUAAUGUUUGAUGUUCUAACGUGGACCCGUGAUCCGGGUUGCGGACAGUGUCUGGUGGGUAGUUUGACUGGGGCGGUCUCCUCCUAAAGAGUAACGGAGGAGCACGAAGGUUGGCUAAUCCUGGUCGGACAUCAGGAGGUUAGUGCAAUGGCAUAAGCCAGCUUGACUGCGAGCGUGACGGCGCGAGCAGGUGCGAAAGCAGGUCAUAGUGAUCCGGUGGUUCUGAAUGGAAGGGCCAUCGCUCAACGGAUAAAAGGUACUCCGGGGAUAACAGGCUGAUACCGCCCAAGAGUUCAUAUCGACGGCGGUGUUUGGCACCUCGAUGUCGGCUCAUCACAUCCUGGGGCUGAAGUAGGUCCCAAGGGUAUGGCUGUUCGCCAUUUAAAGUGGUACGCGAGCUGGGUUUAGAACGUCGUGAGACAGUUCGGUCCCUAUCUGCCGUGGGCGCUGGAGAACUGAGGGGGGCUGCUCCUAGUACGAGAGGACCGGAGUGGACGCAUCACUGGUGUUCGGGUUGUCAUGCCAAUGGCACUGCCCGGUAGCUAAAUGCGGAAGAGAUAAGUGCUGAAAGCAUCUAAGCACGAAACUUGCCCCGAGAUGAGUUCUCCCUGAGACUUAGAGUCUCCUGAAGGAACGUUGAAGACGACGACGUUGAUAGGCCGGGUGUGUAAGCGCAGCGAUGCGUUGAGCUAACCGGUACUAAUGAACCGUGAGGCUUAACCUUACA